This 379-nucleotide long non-coding RNA is filed under the name Actinidia chinensis (golden kiwifruit). RNAcentral describes it as "long non-coding RNA (ACHI_LNC004110)". The record is from RNAcentral. Lineage: Eukaryota; Viridiplantae; Streptophyta; Magnoliopsida; Ericales; Actinidiaceae.
UUGUGAUAUGCAACAACAUUACUUAUUUCUGGAGCAGUCUGCCAUGUGACAAAGAAGAGAAAAAGUUCAAAUAAGAGUAGCCAACGUAAGGAUAUCAAAUGAAGGAAGGAAUAAAGCAGCCAAAAUUGAAAAUACAAAUGUAUCAGAUAAUACACAAAUUUCCUUUUUAGGGAUUACAAAAUAAAUGAGGCAGUUAAAGAUCGUAAGGAAAUGACACCAAAAAUGUGAACAAACACAUUAGCUACUAGGUGGCAUAUACAAAGAGAACUGCCACAACAUACAAAAGCUAAUAAUAUUUAUAAUAAGUAAUAUAUCUAGAAACUCGUGCCAUGAAAAGAAAAUUUACUAAGAAUGGAGAUUACUAGAAAAUUUACUAAAA